RNAcentral lists this long non-coding RNA (8639 nucleotides) under Triticum aestivum (bread wheat). RNAcentral's name for it is "long non-coding RNA (TAES_LNC015976)". The stretch from base 7425 to 7531 matches the Rfam family "Plant small nucleolar RNA R71". The record is from RNAcentral. Lineage: Eukaryota; Viridiplantae; Streptophyta; Magnoliopsida; Poales; Poaceae.
UAAGAAGUAGCCACUGGAUCAAAGCAAAACAAAAUAAUAUGCAACAAAGGCAAAGGGUUCAGAAAUAGGACUGUCUUUUUAUGGUGAUUUUCUUGUAAACAAACAGCCAAGUAAGCACAUGGAAGACGAUUCAGCCAUCACACACACCCCAUGCAACAAACAAGUAACAAAAUAACUACUAACUCAGUAUCCAGCAAAGGGUCACAACAAUUUAACAAGGAUACAUGGGGGAAUUCAGCAAACGUACACUGGUAGCAAAGUAAAUUUCAGACUCAACAGUGCAUAUAUCCAGAGAACUGAAACAAGAGAAGAGAGAGGUUCAGAGCCUAUUGGGUCGUGAUGAUCUUCAAUUCGAGGUUGUAUAUGUUGCAGUCGAAGAAGAGGAAUAGCAGGGACGAAGAUAGACAGCGGAGGACCCGGCCUUGGGGAGGAACCGUGGUGGCCUUAGCGGAAGGUCAGCCAGCCACCCGGAGCAGAGCACCACCAGGAGCUCGAAGCCCCGCUGUUGAUGUCGAGGAUAUGUCGCAGUGGUGGUCGUCGGAGUUGGAGAAGAUCAGCAGAGGUCGUCAGUCAGGGAGGUCACAGCAGCAAACGUUGGAGAGGAGCAGUAGGGACAUUUCUUGAGGUUGGUGACAAGGAAGUGCAGCAGGUCAGCGUUGGAGAUGAGCACGCCGUCAGGGAGGAGAGGCCUCGCGGUGGAGUACCGGCAAAACCGGCGCCCCGCUGUCUGGUCGAGGAUCUAGGCGGUCCCCUUGUCUUCUCUCGUGGAUUCGAUCUGGUUCUCGUCCUCACUUUCCUUCCUUCGAUCUGGUUUUCUUCUCAUUCCCCUCGAUCCCCUUUCUUCCCUUGUUCGAUCUGGUGGUAGGUGAGCAGCGUGGAGAGUGAGAGCAAUCGCCCCCUGGUUUUUUUCUUCGACCCCCCACUCCUCUGCUUGGUGGUUCAGUCGCGCGUGGGAUCAGACACCAUGUCUGGUGUGUCGCGCCAGACUCCAGCUCCUCUCACGCGUGCCACCAAACGCCUCCUCUGGUUCUUUUUCGGUUUGCCCCCUCCAGAACUGAACUCUUCUCCAAGUUGAUCCCCGCUUUAGUGUUGAAAGCACUUUCGUCGAAAUUUGGGUGCCUAAACGCACCAGUCCUACAAAAAAUGAAUAAGGUUGUAAAAAUGUCAUAAUAGGAAUAUUUCUGUAGGAAUGAAUACUUUAUGAGUGAUUAUUGUGAUCAUAUGUUUAAUUUUUGACGCAAAAGGGCUAAAAAUACUAUAUGCAUAAAUGUGCUAUCAAUUUCCCCCACACUCAAAUCUUUGCUUGUCCUCAAGUAAAGAAAAAAAUGAUGGUGACACAACUCACACUGCCUAGUAAAUAUGCACUUUUGGAUAGAUAGUAGUUCCGACAAUACUAUAACUAAGCAACUGUACUCUACUGAAGCUAAAUUAUGAUGAGCAAUAAUUUAUAACACACUGUAAAUGUUUCAAGUCGAUGGCCUUGAGUGAAAGAGAAUCCUAUUAAUCAAGAGCUAGCUGUGUCUUCAGCCCUAAGAUAAGCUGGGACCCCAAAAUCAAUUAGAAAAACAAGUUACUUAUUGAAUUUAAAGCACAAGUGAUGAUAUUAUAUCGGUCUCACCAAAGAAACAUACCACCGAUCCCGAGAACAUGGUAUACACCUGGCUCGACCAAUUAUUAGUAUAUAUUUUUUGUUAUUGUCUCCCCAAAGGAACAUACCACCGAUCCCGAGAACAUGGUAUACACCUAGUUCGAAAAAUUAUUAGUAUAUUUUAUACAAAUUUUUUACAGUCCAAUCUACCAGAUUUCACAAGCCACUGAUCCAGGGAACAUGACAUGCUACUGUAGGUCGAUCGGACUUAAAUUAUUAUAAUUAUUUUAUUUAUUUAUUUGAAAAUUACUUAGCUUAAGUAAAACGGGAGUAACUGAAAGAGAAAUCCACAGCUAAUGGCAAUGUUUUUCACAGACUACAGAUCCAGAGAUCAUAGCUACUACUUAAGUGCCACCAGUUACUUAGCUUAACUUGGGACAGUCAGACACAUCACAUCAAUUCAUCAGUAGGUUUCACUUAGACUCAAGGCAUUCCCAUUGAACAUUUACAUGGAGGUAUAAAGUAUUCAUUAUCACAAUUUACCAUAAGAAGAAUACAGCUGCAUAGUUUUGGUAUUAAGAGAAUCAACAACCUUCUUGGGGUGAAUCCUACUUUGCAGUGAAGAGUAAGGUGUCACAAUGCAAAAAGAGUUUCAAUGCAAUUAAAUGCCAGUUCUCGUACUGAAUUUUCUAAAGGUUGCUUCAAGUGGAACAGAAUCACCUAGUAUUUGUAUACUCUUCUCUCCUAGUUUCUUCUCUCCACUCUUCUCUGUUUGUGUUCCCUGUUUGUGCUCCCCUUGCCUUUAUUUGUUGAAAAAAGACAUAAACACAUAAAAAGUUUUCUAUGAAAACUAAAUAAAGAAAAGAACUUAUUAAAGAUUCAGGUUGCCUCGUGAAAAGUGCUUGUUUUAGGUCUUUAGCUCGACCGUGUCUCUUCAGUGGGGUCAGGUCCUGCAGGGAUUGACACCACCUCCUGGGUCCCCUCGCCUUCUUGAAUUUCCUCCUCUGGGUCUUGAUCUUCGCUUGCAUUCUCAUCUUCAGAAAUCAGAAUUGGGUCUCCAGGGAUGUAGGGCUUCAGUCUUUGACCAUUUACAAGGAAGAGACCUCUAGAAGUACUUUGCACUUGGAUAGCACCACUUUUCAUAAUCUUCUUCACCUUGCAAGGGCCAUACCAUCUUGACUUGAAUUUACCAGGAAAUAAAUGAAACUAGUAUCGUAGACCAAUACCAACUGUCCAAGAUGAAAUUCUUUCCUCAAUAUAUGAUUGUCAUGCCAGAUCUUGGUCUUUUCUUUGUAGAUUCUUGCACUCUCGUAAGAGUCAGCUCUCAGUUCUUCCAUUUCACAGAGUUGAAGUUAUCUGUAUUUUCCUACUGCAUCAAGGUCCAUAUUGAGUUUCAUUAGUGCCCAUUGAGCUUUGUUUUCAAGUUCAACGGGUACAUGGCAUGUUUUCCACAUAUUAACCUGAAUGGUGACAUUCCAAUUGGUGUUUUAUAGGCUGUCAUAUAUGCCCACGGUGUGUCUGGUAAUUUUAGUACCCAGUCAGACCUUGACUUUGAUACUACCUUCUCGAGGAUAGCCUUUAUUUCUCUAUUAGAUAACUCCACUUGUCCAUUUGCUUGUGGGUGAUAAGGAGUUGUAAUUCUGUGAUUAUGAACUCCAUAUUUUGCUAAGAGAGAUUCUAGUUGGGAGUUGUUGAAAUGUGUUCCUCCAUCACUGAUAACAAUCCGUGGCACACCAAAUCUUGGAAAGAUCACUUGCUUGAAUAAAUUGCAAACUGACUUGGAAUCAGCAUUGACGGUUGGUACAGCCUCAACCCAUUUUGACACAUAGUCCACUGCCACCAAUAUGUAUUUGUACCCUUUUGAUGAUGGCAAGGGUCCAACAUAAUCAAUUCCCCAUACAUCAAAGAGCUCUACUUCAAGAAUUCCUUUUUGAGGCAUCUCUUGCCCUUUUGAAAUCUUUCCAGUUCUCUGACAAGGAUCCCAAGCUUCAAUAUAGGAAUGUACAUCCUUGAAUAAAGUUGGCCAGUAAAAUCCCGCUUGCAAAAUUUUCGCUUGAGUUUCCUAGUACUUGCAUGACCUCCAUAAGGGGAUGAAUGGCAAUGAUAGAUCACACUUUUUGUUUCACCUUCCGGCAAGCAUCUUCGAACAAUACCAUCAGCACAAUGUUUGAAUAAGUAAGGUUCAUCCCAAAAGAAGUGCUUCAUAUCUGAUAAGAAUUUCUUCUUCUUUUGAUACCAAAAAUCUGUAGGAACUUUGUUACAGACUAGAUAAUUAACUAUAUCUACGUACCAUGAUGUAUAGUUUUGUAUACUAGUCACUUCCAUAAGAUUGCUCCCUGGUAAAACAUCAUUUAUAGGUAAGGAGUCUACUGCAUUGUUUUGCAAUCUCGACAAGUGAUCUGCCACAACAUUGUUAGAUCCUUUCUUGUCCUUGAUUUCCACAUCAAAUUCUUGAAGCAAGAGUAUCCAUCUAAUUAACCUUGGCUUGUCUUCUUUCUUGAUGAGUAGAUAUCUGAUUGCAGCGUGGUCUAUGUAAACUACACAAUGAGACCCCACAAGAUAUUGCAUGAAUUUGUCAAAGGCAUACACUACUGCCAACAACCCCUUUUCGGUGGUUGUGUAAUUAGCUUUAGCACCAUCAAGUGUUUUGCUAGCAUAGUACAUUACAUGCAAAUCUUUUCCUUUUCUUUGUCCAAGUACUGCACCUACAGCAAAGUCACUUGCAUCACACAUUAUCUCAAAUGGUAAUUCCCAGUCAGGGGGUUGCACUACUGGAGCAGUGACCAAUGCUUCCUUCAGCAAGUUGAAGGAUUUUUCACAUUCUGCAUCAAAGUUGAACUUAACAUCAUUGGUUAGGAGAUUAGUGAGGGGUUUGGCUAUCUUGGAGAAAUCCUUUAUGAAUCUUCUAUAGAACCCAACAUGUCCCAAAAAGCUCCUCACUCCCUUCACAUUUACAGGCGGUGGAAGUUUUGAUAUUACUUCAACUUUUGCUUGAUCAACCUUAAUUCCUCUUUCAGAUACCAAAUGUCCCAAAAUAAUUCCUUCCUUUACAAGAAACUGACACUUCUCCCAGUUUAGGACUAGAUUGUGUUCUGAACACCUCUGAAGAAUUGCUGCCAGAUUAUUCAAGCAAUCCUCGUAACCUUUUCCAACGAAUGUAAUAUCAUCUAUGAACACCUCCACUUUGAUUCCUAUCAUAUAAGAUAAUAUAGAGAGCAUAAACCUUUGAAAUGUUGGGGGUGCAUUACAAAGUCCAUAGGCUAGUCUUUUGUAAGCAAAUGUUCCGUACGGGCAAGUGAAAGUUGUUUUAUCUUGAUCAUCCGGGUGAAUUGGGAUUUGCAAGAAUCCUGAAUACCCAUCUAAGCAGCAGAAAUAUUCAUGACCAGCAAGCCUUUCAAGAAUUUGGUCAAUAAAAGGUAAAGGAAAAUGGUCCUUCCUCGUUACUUCAUUUAACUUUCUGAAAUCAUUGACCAUUCUCCACCCUGUGACAAUCCUACUAGGAAUCGUUUUCCCUUGUUCGUUUUCAAUGACAGUUAUUCCUCCUUUUUUGGGCACCAUGUGAAUGGGGCUCACCCACUCACUGUCCAAAAUUGGGUAUAUGAUAUCAGCAGAGAGCAAUUUAAGAAUCUCCUUUUUAACAACCUCUUGCAAAUGGGGAUUUAACCUUCUUUGACUUUCUCUAAUUGGUACACUACUUUCUUUCAAGUAAAUCCUUAUGAGAGAACACAACAAGAUUUAUCCCUUUCAUAUCAUCAAUUGAAUAGCCAAUAACAUCCUUGUACUUUUGCAAAACUGCUUGAAGCCCUUUUAUUUGCAUUUCCGUCAACUCACCGUUUAAGGUAAUUGGCCAUUGGUUUUCAUUGUCUAAGAAUACACACUUCAAACUUUCUGGAAGUUGUUUCAUUUCUAUUUGCCUUGGUUGCAUCUUCUCUAAUGGCCUUGCACUGCUUUCCAACAUGCUCACAGGUCUGAUUUCCUCAUACUCCCUCCGUCCAAAAAUACUUGUCAUCAAAAUGAAUAAAAGAGGAUGUAUCUAGAUAUAUUUUAGUUCUAGAUACAUUCCUUUUUGUCCAUUUUGAUGACAAGUAUUUUCGGACGGAGGGAGUAUUUGAUUUCACUAUUAUCCUCCUCAACUACUUCACAACAAUUACUUCCAUACCUCUCUUCAUAACCUUCUUCCACACAUUUCUAUAGUGUAUCAAUUCUAUAGCAGUGUUCUUCUCUUUGCGGAACAUGUGUUGCAUGCUUCAUGUCAAAAUCCACCUUUUCAUUCCCAAACCUCAGGCUCAAUUUAGCUUCUUGGACAUCAAUAAGUGCACCAACUAUGGCUAAAAUGGUCUUCCAAGAAUCAUAGCCUCACUCUUGUCCUCCAUAUCUAGCACUACAAAGUCAACCGGAUAAGCAAACUUCCCAACUUUGAUUGGAACAUCCUCAAGAAUUCCAACAGGUUUCCUAUAUGUUCUGUCGGCUAAUUGAAGAGUUGUGGCUGUUGGAUUUAAUUCUCCCAAGAACAUCCUUUUGCUAACUGAAUGUGGUAACAUAGAGCACUGUAAGUUUUGUUUCCAACCACACAUGGUACACAAAAGCUUCCUGGAUCAUCCCAUUUUUCACGCAUGGAAUUCUGAAUUAUUGCACUUCAUUCCUUUGAUAGAGUCACUACUUCUGGCUCAGACAUGCUUCUUUUCUUUGUUAGUAAUUCCUUGAAAUAUUUGGCAUACAUUGGAACAUGCAAGACAGCUUCAAGAAUAGGAAUGGUAAUCUGAACUCCUUUCAUAGUUUCCAAAAAUUUGGCAAAUUGCCUGUCAUCUUUGGGUUUGUUGAACCUCUCAGGAAAGGGAAUGUUGUUGGUUGUUAUUGCUUCCUCUAGCAAAGGCUUAGCUCUUGUUUGAAAACCAGGAAAUUCGACUUUAGUUUCAAUUCGGUUAUCAACUUCUUUCUCCUUUAGUUUCUCUGAUGAUGUUGAAGGUGGAGUUCCGGAUGAACUUGGUCUCAUAGCAGGAGGCACAUAUGACUUUGGAAUAGGAAGUAAUGGUCCUGACAUAACUCCACUCCUUGUAGUCACUGCAUCAAUUGAAGAUAUUGCCCCACAGUGAGCUUUUGGGUUUGGAAUUGGUUGAGCAGGCAGCCUUGCUUCAUUUUCUCCCACAAUACUAUCCAUUUUGCUCAUAAGCAUCUUAACAGAAUCUUUUAAGCCAUUAAUUUCAUUUGUCAUCUUGUUCAUCAAUUCCAACUGCAUCUUCAUGAUUUCCUCCAUUCCAUUUGACUGAACAUUUUGUUGUUCAUUCUGCCUUGGCACUUGAAAUUGAGUUGGAUGAUUUGGUGGUCGAUUUCCUUGUACUGUCGAUCCACUUGCAUAUGACUGAUUGUUCUUGUACGACAAGUUUGGAUGGUUCCUCAAAGAAGGAUUGUAGCUGUUCAGAAUGGACCUUGACUUUGGGCAGAACUUACUUCUGAAACCGAAGAUCUGAUUGCUGAGUAGAAGGUACAUUCUGUUGAAGGAUGACCUACUUGGCCACAUAUAUCACACAUUUGAGGCACGCUUACUGAAGCUCCAGAUGUACGAUACAAUUUGACAUGAUACUGUCCAUCUUGUUCAAUAUGUCAAUCUGAGCCGCCAUGCUAUCAUUUGCAGACACAUUGUACACACCAGGAUGCGGUGGUGCUAUUUCUCUUUCACUCGACCAUUGGAAAUGCUGAGACGCCAUACUUUCAAUCAAUGCAAAUGCUUCAUCAAGAGUUUUGUUCAUGAUUCCUCCUCCAGCGGCAGAAUCAAUAAAAGCUCUGGUCUGAGUAGUCAGUCCUCUGUAAAAAGGUUUGUAACACCAUCCAUCUUUCCAAACCAUGAUGAGGACAAAUUCUUAUUAAAGAGUUGAAUCUUUGCCAUGCAUCGUACAAACUUUCUCCAUCAUAUUGAGUGAACCUUGUUAACUUGUCCAUGUAUUCAACAGCUUUUGUUGGUGGAAAGUAUCUCUCAAGAAAUGUUUGCAAUAAAGUCUCCCAAGUAUUCUUCAGAUGUUCAGGCAAUGAGUGAAGCCAUACUCUUGCUCCAUCUCUCAAGGGAAAUGGAAAUAGUGACAAUCUGAUAGCACUCGGUGAAACUCCAUUUUUCUUGAGGGUGUUACAAUACUCCAAGAAAGUCCUUAUAUGCUCAUGUGGGUCUUCUAAAGCUGUUCCACCAAAUCUGGACUGUUGUACCAUGUUAAUCAGGGCUGGCUUCAAUUCAAAAAAAAUUACUGAAUAAUUGGUUGCACCAUUUCUCCUGGUAUCCCAUGAUCUCUUGGGACCCACAAGUCCCUGAGCAAAGGCAAUGGAUCAGGCAUCUUUUCUCCUUCUUGAUCUUGCAAAUUUCAGCAACUUGAAACUGUGUUUGAUUCUCUCUUCUUCUUCUCAAUAAAGUCCUUUCAAUUUCUUGAUCAAAUGGCUCUAGUGAACUUUCUUCAGAUUGUAACAUAAGAUAAUUUCCUGUAAAGUUCCUGAAAUUGACACAUGCUAGUUUUUCUCAAAACUGCAGCCAAUGUUAGAAAAUGGUUAGUUGCCAGCAAUACUACAGAAUCGAUCUAAAAUAAAUCUUGAUCUGCUUCUACUAAUGUGCUAAUGAAAUUUAGAUCCCCGGCAAUGGCGCCAAAAUGAUCAAAGGUAGAUAUAGUGAUUUAGAAUGUCGGUUCUCCACAGGGAUCUAGAACUUCGAAGCACGCAUUCGAAACAUCCAGGGCAGCAGAAUAUUUGGUUUUAAUAGAACUAGAAACAACUUAUCAGACUAAUCAAAAAUCAAGGUAACAAAUAGUCACUGGAUCAAAGCAAAACAAAUAAUAUGCAGCAAAGGCAAAGGGUUCAGAAAUAGGACUGUCUUUUUAUGGUGAUUUUCUUGUAAACAAACAGCCAAGUAAGCACAUGGAAGACGAUUCAGCCAUCACACACACCCCAUGCAACAGACAAGUGACAAAAUAACUACUAACUCAGUAUCCAGCAAAGGGUCACAACAAUUCAGCAAGGAUACAUGGGGAAUUUAGCAAAGGUACACAGGUAGCAAAGUAAAUUUCAGACCCAACAG